AUAGCUUCUUGGCCUUUUGGCUAAGAUCGAGUGUCAGUUUUUUAUCUGACAUAUUAAAAGGUUAUUUUUCAUUCGUUUUAUAAAUCUUAGGACACUUUAUAGGCAGCAAGCCUGCUGCUGAAUUAUAAAUACCGCC
This 136-nucleotide small nuclear RNA is filed under the name Heterocephalus glaber (naked mole-rat). RNAcentral describes it as "U2 spliceosomal RNA". It matches the Rfam family "U2 spliceosomal RNA". Rfam says of the family: U2 is a small nuclear RNA (snRNA) component of the spliceosome (involved in pre-mRNA splicing). Complementary binding between U2 snRNA (in an area lying towards the 5' end but 3' to hairpin I) and the branchpoint sequence (BPS) of the intron results the bulging out of an unpaired adenosine, on the BPS, which initiates a nucleophilic attack at the intronic 5' splice site, thus starting the first of two transesterification reactions that mediate splicing. The record is from Rfam by way of RNAcentral. Lineage: Eukaryota; Metazoa; Chordata; Mammalia; Rodentia; Bathyergidae.